This 488-nucleotide ribosomal RNA is filed under the name uncultured bacterium. RNAcentral describes it as "partial 16S ribosomal RNA". It matches the Rfam family "Bacterial small subunit ribosomal RNA", at positions 30 to 507 of the family's 1533-position model. The record is from RNAcentral.
UGAACGCUGGCGGCAGGCCUAACACAUGCAAGUCGAACGGUAACAGGAAGCAGCUUGCUGCUUCGCUGACGAGUGGCGGACGGGUGAGUAAUGUCUGGGAAGCUGCCUGAUGGAGGGGGAUAACUACUGGAAACGGUAGCUAAUACCGCAUAAUGUCGCAAGACCAAAGAGGGGGACCUUCGGGCCUCUUGCCAUCGGAUGUGCCCAGAUGGGAUUAGCUUGUUGGUGGGGUAACGGCUCACCAAGGCGACGAUCCCUAGCUGGUCUGAGAGGAUGACCAGCCACACUGGGACUGAGACACGGUCCAGACUCCUACGGGAGGCAGCAGUGGGGAAUAUUGCACAAUGGGCGCAAGCCUGAUGCAGCCAUGCCGCGUGUAUGAAGAAGGCCUUCGGGUUGUAAAGUACUUUCAGCGGGGAGGAAGGGAGUAAAGUUAAUACCUUUGCUCAUUGACGUUACCCGCAGAAGAAGCACCGGCUAACUCCGUG